This 228-nucleotide long non-coding RNA is filed under the name Olea europaea subsp. europaea. Lineage: Eukaryota; Viridiplantae; Streptophyta; Magnoliopsida; Lamiales; Oleaceae. The record is from RNAcentral.
CCAAUGAUAAUAUUAAUUGUCCCGUUUGAGCACUACUUCCUGCUCCAGGCUCUUUCCGAUUGUCAUGGUCAUUCCUCAGGCGUUUAUCAUGACCAAUGUAAUUCCUUAAUCGCCCUCUUUUAAUGAGGGCUUCAAUUUUUCGCUGCAAAGCUUGACAAUCCUCCGUGGUAUGCCCAUGAUCUCGGUGAAAUUCACAAUACUUGCUCUUAUCUCUUAUGUCAGGGGGUG